RNAcentral lists this ribosomal RNA (262 nucleotides) under uncultured Rubrimonas sp. Its description in RNAcentral is "partial 16S ribosomal RNA". It matches the Rfam family "Bacterial small subunit ribosomal RNA", at positions 1097 to 1382 of the family's 1533-position model. Lineage: Bacteria; Pseudomonadati; Pseudomonadota; Alphaproteobacteria; Rhodobacterales; Paracoccaceae. The record is from RNAcentral.
CGCAACCCACGUCCUUAGUGCCAGCAUUCAGUUGGGCACUCUAGGGAGACCGCCGGUGAUAAGCCGGAGGAAGGUGUGGAUGACGUCAAGUCCUCAUGGCCCUUACGAGGUGGGCUACACACGUGCUACAAUGGCGGCGACAGUGGGUUAAUCCCAAAAAGCCGUCUCAGUUCCGGAUUGGGGUCUGCAACUCGACUCCAUGAAGUUGGAAUCGCUAGUAAUCGCGGAUCAGCAUGCCGCGGUGAAUACGUUCCCGGGCCUU